UACGGAGGGUGCAAGCGUUAAUCGGAAUUACUGGGCGUAAAGGGUGCGUAGGUGGUUUGGUAAGUUAUCUGUGAAAUCCCCGGGCUCAACCUGGGCAGGUCAGAUAAGACUGCUGGACUCGAGUAUAGGAGAGGGUAGUGGAAUUUCCGGUGUAGCGGUGAAAUGCGUAGAGAUCGGAAGGAACACCAGUGGCGAAGGCGGUUACCUGGCCUGAUACUGACACUGAGGCACGAAAGCGUGGGGAGCAAACAGG
Molecule: ribosomal RNA, 253 nt
Filed under: uncultured bacterium
Lineage: Bacteria
Description: partial 16S ribosomal RNA
Rfam family: Bacterial small subunit ribosomal RNA
Source: RNAcentral